AGGAUUUUCUAGAUAUUUUUUCAGUAAUUUUUGAAAAUUUUUUGAAAAAGUGAUAUUUACAUGAUACAUUUGUUUAUAAAAUUGUUAUAAACAGGGAUUACUUGCAAGAUGUAUUCACUUAUGUUAGUUCUUGUGUUCCUGAUGACUGGUGGUGGUGGCGGUGUUAAACGCCGAAAGUCUGUGUCGAGCAAAGGAAAGAAUGUUGUGGAUGACGAAGGCAGUGAAUAUCAGGCAUCUGAACAUUCUGAAA
This 250-nucleotide long non-coding RNA is filed under the name Ananas comosus (pineapple). Its description in RNAcentral is "long non-coding RNA (ACOM_LNC005255)". Lineage: Eukaryota; Viridiplantae; Streptophyta; Magnoliopsida; Poales; Bromeliaceae. The record is from RNAcentral.